AUAUAAAUGCGAGGCUAAGCAGAAAUGAGCAUUCAUUGUAUUGCUUUUGGUAGAGCUGGUACAUUUUAGAAGUAAUCUGCUCUAUCCUUAUGGUAUGCAGGGAUAAGAGGAUACUCAGUCUAUCAAGUAAAUAGAGGAAACACAGCAAUGGCAACUCUAUGGACUACACUUUGUGCUGUCUUCAUGGUAACUGCAGCCAUGUGUAAACCAGUUUGUCUACGUGAGGGAGAGUAUUCAUCCAAGUCAUCAGAGUCCAGUGAAUCCAAUUCAUCAGAAGAGACUGCCGGUCAUGUUGAGCCUUCACAGGAUCCCCUGCAACCAGCACUGACAGAGACAGGCAUGCCUAAUGCUAUAGAGGAAACUGACCCCCCGGACACUGCUGCCCUACCUCCCUCUGCACAAUCAGUCACCCUCAAUACUUCAGCCCUUCCAGACCCCGAGGACCCACAAUCCUCCACUGACGCUUUACAACUCAUGCCAGAUGAUCCUUCACAAACUGCCCUGGGCGUAGACAUUUCUCAGGAUAUGCCUGAUCCUGCACAGGACUCAAUCAAUGCUAACACUGUGCAUAUUGUACCUGAUAUGGAGGUCUCACGACACCCAGGGACAACAGAAACUGAUUUAAUCAUAGGUGUUGGUGGAACAACUCAACUGCAAGUCACCACUGCAUACCAAGGAUUCCCCCAGGGUGCUACUCCACCCUUUCCUCCAACAUAUCCACCAGUCUCCACAACCCCUCCCCUGCCAAUCCCCAUCAGCACCGCCCUGACUGGUGUUCCUGUUUGUUUCACUUUCCAGUUUGAGACUCCUGAGCCGGAUCCACCCAGAGGAGAUAGCAUUUGAUCCUAGAAACUGAUUCAUUUCUGGUUUGGCCCAUGUUUGUUGAAAAUAUUUGUAUUUGUCUUGUUACUCUAUCACUGUAAUACCAAGUCUAAACAUCCUACUACACUUGGCUGUUACUUUACAUUUCCUUUAUCAGUGGAAAUUUUGUUUUAAUGGUGCUAGCAUAAUGACUGCCACAUAAACACAAUGGAAAUGUAUUGUAGUCGAUUUGUAGAAUCUAUACCUUAGCUAACAACAUCAUGCAAUGAAAUGUUCUUAUCUCUUA
Molecule: long non-coding RNA, 1108 nt
Organism: Lates calcarifer (barramundi perch)
Lineage: Eukaryota; Metazoa; Chordata; Actinopteri; Centropomidae
Exons: 3
Source: RefSeq, a predicted model, not a curated record